RNAcentral lists this long non-coding RNA (1038 nucleotides) under Mytilus galloprovincialis (Mediterranean mussel). The record is from RNAcentral. Lineage: Eukaryota; Metazoa; Mollusca; Bivalvia; Mytilida; Mytilidae.
GAUCAGUACCAAAUCAUCAGCACAAACAACCUUACCCGUCGUCAAAUGAAUAACAUCGACGAUAUAUUGACGGUUUCUUUAAUAGAUUUUGACCAUAAAUGGUCACUUGGUCAACCUGUAUUGUAAGUAAGGUUGCAAAUCACUCAUUUCAAAAAACGUUGACCUAUUCUGGUGGUUUGGUUGUCCUAUAUUCCUGCUUCUGCAUUGGUUAAACCAAUUAACCCCACCACACCAGAUGAAUGAUAUAACCGAAACUGAAGUUGAUAUUUUAUGUUGGUAUGGAUACAUUACAUAAAAAUAUAAUCUUAGAUGCUUGUCUGACCGUUCUUUUCAUUAAUUCUGCACCGUAAACAGGCUUAUUAUAAACAAGGCCGUUAGUUUUCUCGUUUGAAUUGUUUUACAUUGUCGUAUCGGGGCCUUUUAUAGCCGACUAUGCGGUAUGGGCUUAGCUCAUUGUUGAAGGCCGUACGGUGACCUAUGGUUGUUAAUGUCUGUGUCAUUUUUGUCUUUUGUGGACAGUUGUCUCAUUGGCAAUCAUACCACAUCUUCUUUUUUAUAUUAUUGCAGUAAUGUUACCGAUUGCUCAAUUUCAACUGCACUCAUUAUCUUCCAUAUCAAAUUGCCACAAAUCUCAAUGCAAAUAAUUUAUAUAUCGACUAUAAAAAAAUCUAUUUUCAAAAAUAUUGCACACGUGUCUAUAGUACAUUGUACAUAACAUUCAUAUAAACAAUCGCACAUCAUCAAAAGGACCAUCGGACUUUGGCGAAAACCUCCGCACUACAGGGUGACCGUUGCACUUCAGAGUUCCCAUCACACAUCCCAGUCCUUCAUAUGUUCUCAUUUAGAUAACCUUUGGUUAUAAAAGGCUAAAACCAUCAUUUGUGUCUUUACAUGUACCUCGUCUCAAAAUGUUUGAUCUGAAAAUUUGUAUAAGAAAAGUUUUGUUCUUCCCUCAACAGCAUUCGAAACCUAGUCUCUGCACGAGAUAACAUGGCAACAUCACCUGUUCUGUGUCCAGCGCCCUAGAGCUUGACCAAC